GAUGAACGCUGGCGGCGUGCCUAAUACAUGCAAGUCGAGCGAACAGACGAGGAGCUUGCUCCUCUGACGUUAGCGGCGGACGGGUGAGUAACACGUGGAUAACCUACCUAUAAGACUGGGAUAACUUCGGGAAACCGGAGCUAAUACCGGAUAAUAUAUUGAACCGCAUGGUUCAAUAGUGAAAGACGGUUUUGCUGUCACUUAUAGAUGGAUCCGCGCCGCAUUAGCUAGUUGGUAAGGUAACGGCUUACCAAGGCGACGAUGCGUAGCCGACCUGAGAGGGUGAUCGGCCACACUGGAACUGAGACACGGUCCAGACUCCUACGGGAGGCAGCAGUAGGGAAUCUUACGCAAUGGGCGAAAGCCUGACGGAGCAACGCCGCGUGAGUGAUGAAGGUCUUCGGAUCGUAAAACUCUGUUAUUAGGGAAGAACAAAUGUGUAAGUAACUAGGCACGUCUUGACGGUACCUAAUCAGAAAGCCACGGCUAACUACGUG
Molecule: ribosomal RNA, 497 nt
Filed under: uncultured bacterium
Lineage: Bacteria
Description: partial 16S ribosomal RNA
Rfam family: Bacterial small subunit ribosomal RNA
Source: RNAcentral